Salarias fasciatus (jewelled blenny) is the source of this 2247-nucleotide long non-coding RNA. Lineage: Eukaryota; Metazoa; Chordata; Actinopteri; Blenniiformes; Blenniidae. The record is from Ensembl.
CGGGGCGGGAGUACGACCUGGCGCUUGUGGCGGAACGAGGCGAGAGUCGGAGCGCAGCCGCCACCACUCAGGUGGUUCCGGGCGUCGCCACGGCGGCUCUGACCCUGCAGGUCACACAGGCGCCCGGCCCGGACCGGGACUCGAACCCUCGACCCGGGGCGCCCGGCCGCCCGGAGGAGGCGGACUCCGUCCGGGACCGGGUCCCUCUGACGCCCAGAGCGCAGACCCUCAUCAGCAGGGCCCUGGCGGCGAACGGGACCAGGCUCAGGGUCGCAGGGAGGCCAAAGGUCAGCGGGCCUAAGCCGUCACGGUCCAGCCCGGCCAGAGGCGGUCCGGAUGGACCCGGUCCAGAUGGACCCGGCCCAGGACCACCGAAGACAGACUCCACUAAAGGACCCGAUCGAUCUAAAGCUCUCGGAGCGAGAGAACCGACGACCCGGAGCUCUGAGGGAACCGACGGAAGAACUCCAGCUGCAGGGCCAGAGACCGGGUCCCAGGGACCAGGUCUCCACACACCACACCCAGACGGUGGACCCGACAGCGAUCUGGAAGGCCCAGAUCCAGCGAGUUCAGAUCCAGCCGGUACAGAUCCAUUGGGUUCAGAUCCAGCUGGUCCAGAUCCAGCGGGCCCUGAUUCAGCGGGUCCAGGUCCAGUGGGUCCAGAUCCAGGUCCUGCUGGGAGCCAGGAGCAGAAGUGUCUUAACAGAGUGAAAGUGACGCACGUGAGGCUCCCGCUGAAGGACCGGCGGGGGGGGGCGGGGCUGCAGGGCGGCCCGGCGGCGCCCCCUUCUGGGGAACUGGACCCGCUGCACAAACUCCUGACUGAGACCUUUCAGAGCCUCAACGUCUCCACGUUCUCCGUCCACCUGUCCGGAACGUCCAACCUGUCCCGGGACGACGGGACGGCGAGGAGGCAGCUGAUCGGCGGCUUGGUUCCACUGGCUUCGCCCUCAGAGCCUUCAUCAGAGUCUUCCUCACCUUCAUCACACUCCUCUUCAUCUUCAUCAGAUUCAUCAGACACAGAGUCAUCCUCAUCACCCUCUUCCUCUUCAUCAUCCUCCUCUUCAUCACCCUCCUCACCUUCAUCAUCCUCCUCCUCUUCAUCACCUUCCUCACCUUCAUCAUCCUCCUCUUCAUCACCUUCCUCACCUUCAUCAUCCUCCUCCUCUUCAUCACCUUCCUCACCUUCAUCAUCCUCCUCCUCUUCAUCACCCUCCUCACCUUCAUCACCCUCCUCUUCAUCACCAUCCGUCCCAGAUAACCCAGACUCUUCUGGAGGCGGUAACCAUGGCGACAGUCCGACUGACAGGAAACAGCCGUCCCUCUCAGAGAAAGUUCCGUAUUUCCGCCGGACUCUUCCUCGACGCCGCCCUCACCCGAACCUUGGUCUGUUCCAGAACAGAACCCUCCAGAACACCAGGGUUCCUCAUCGGUUCCCUCCUCGCCUGAACCCUGAAGUCCAAACCGAGUCCAGAGAUGAGUCGUCCUCAGACCCGGAGGUCGGGAAGGUGAAUCCUCCCAGGGACACCAAACAGAGGACAGCAGCGUCCACUCCGUCCAAACCGUCCACACUGUCCAGAAUCAGACAGAACGUCGCACUGACAGAUGGAGAACCAUCCCCGGUUCUCCGUCCUCCUCCAGAAGGAGGAUACUCCCGUCAGCCCUCUCUUCAUGUUGGACCUCUUCAGAACCGAACCCGUCCACUCCGGCAUCCUCUCACUGGUCCAGCAGACACAGAGACCUCGUCUCCUGUGAAACCGACAGGCUACCGUCCAUCCGGUUCAGGACCGGAGACGGAGGAGAAAGCUGGAACCGUCAGAGGAACAUUAUCUGGAGAACCGCCUUCUUCCCGUCACCCACCCAGGAGAGCUGGACUCUUCCACCGGACUCCUCAGAACCGCACCAACCUGACAUUUCCACAAAGGGGUCUGAUACGCAAACCUGUCCCGAGCACGAAGCUGAAUGUGGGCCUGAGACCCGGUCCUGGAGAUCCACCCAGCCAACUGGAGAGGGAUCCUCUCAGCGGGAACCAAGCGGGGCAGCAGAAUGUCCCCAGACAGUCUGAGCAAGACCAAACCAGGGACUCAGUGGAACGAGACUCUCCGACGGCAGCGUCCAUCGCUGAGGACAACGGUCGUGGUGCCAAUGAGCUGGAAGAGGAGAACCCAGAGGAAUCUAAGACCACCAACUUUCAAGAGUCAAGUCACAGUCAUCCAGGACUCUCAGGGUCAGUCCCACCCCCAACGG